Gasterosteus aculeatus aculeatus (three-spined stickleback) is the source of this 1041-nucleotide long non-coding RNA. Lineage: Eukaryota; Metazoa; Chordata; Actinopteri; Perciformes; Gasterosteidae. The record is from Ensembl.
AGGUGAUGAAACGAGAGGCUGAGUACCUUGUUAAGAACGACAUGGCCGUACAUAGCAGUAGCCCAUGGAGUUCCCCCUGUAUCCUUGUUCCGAAGCCAGAUGGAACGUCUAGAUUGUGCACUGACUAUCGUCGCGUGAAUGCUGUCACUGUUCCGGAUUCAUAUCCUAUGCCACGCAUAGAUGACUGUGUGGAUACGAUAGGUUCCGCCGCAUAUGUCACAAAGCUUGACAUGUUGAAAGGAUACUGGCAGGUGCCACUAACUGCACGGGUGUCUGCUAUUUCAGCCUCUGUGACCCCAGAGAUGUUCCUCCAGUACACAGUCAUGGCAUUUGGGAUGCGCUCCAGCGACGUUUCAACAUCUAGUUAAUAUGGUGCUGGGGGAUGUAUCGAAUUGCACUGCAUAUUUAGAUGACGUAGUGGUACAUUCUUCCACUUGGGAGGACCACAUGUCCACUUUAGAGGACGUGUUUAAACGUUUGCAGGGUGCGUCUUUGACUCUUAACCUCGCCAAAUGCGAGUUUGGGAAUGCAACAGUCACCUAUUUAGGUAAAGAAGUAGGUUCGGGGCGAGGUGCGCCCUGUGGCUUGUAAAGUAGAGGCUAUUACAGCCUACCCAGCACCCACUACGCAGCGUCAGUUACGUCGGUUUGUGGGUAUGGUGGGGUACUAUAGGACCUUCUGCAAGAAUUUCUUGACGGUCAUGUCUCCACUUAUCUCUUUGUUGAGUCCCAAGAAAACGUACGCAUGGACAGUAGACUGUCAGCGUGCAUUUGAGAGUGCUAAAGCACUGCUUUGUUCGACCCCCGUGCUGGCGGCUCCCAACUUCACCAAGCCGUUCAAGCUGGAAGUGGACGCAAGUUGUACGGGCGCAGGUGCGGUUCUUCUCCAGGAAGAUGGCGAAGGCGUCGACCGGCCUGAUGUUCAAUCAGAACCGCAGACUGAUGCGGUGGGCGUUGAUAGUGCAAGGGUACAACAUUGUCAUCAGGCACAUUAAGGGGACACACAAUGUUGUGGCAGACACUCUGUCCCGUAUUUGGUAGA